Molecule: long non-coding RNA, 1293 nt
Organism: Sinocyclocheilus rhinocerous
Lineage: Eukaryota; Metazoa; Chordata; Actinopteri; Cypriniformes; Cyprinidae
Exons: 4
Source: RefSeq, a predicted model, not a curated record
AUGUAUCAGAUUUCAAAGUUAUUGAGGGAAGAUUAAGUCUAAAUUGUCAGACUGAAGCCAGCUGUUCAGAAGCCAUGCUUGAUUGGAGCACCUGUUGCUACUUUCUCUUCCUCUUGUCUGGUCUGGUCCAGCUAAAGGUUUCGUGGCAGCAGACACCACCAUGAGUCCAUUUGUCCUGCUUUGAGUUAAGCGACUGCCUCCUAAAUGUGCUUUUUCUCUCAUGAGGUUGGUUGGAUGUGUUUGAAGGGGGGCCGUGGCAUCUUACCCCUUUGGACUCCGUUGACUUUGCCUUUGUUCCUGUUGCCAAGCUACCCUGCUCUUUUGGCAAGCACAAAGGUGAUUUUAUCCAGCCCUGGAGGAAUGUUCUCAUCUUUAUCCAGAUAACUUAAAUCCAAGUCUUGGUGGCUUUAGCUAGUGAUACACUUUUUGUUUUCUUUGUUUGUUUCCUUGUUCCUGGAGAAUUAAGCUGUUUUUUUUUUUUCUUUUGGGAGUUGCUCUUAAAACCGUAAAGAAGCAGGCUCAUCUGCCCCUCACCACGUCGUCUUUUCAUGCUGAGUCUAAGUGUGCUUCACGAGCCACCAAAAUAGCUUUGCUUCAUAUGGCGUGAGGGUUUGAAACCCUCUGCUCAUGUCCAUGCUCAUCUGCUGGCAACCUGGCUUACAUAACUCUCCCUCACACUCCCAAGACAAUGGGAAAGACGGAGCAAACAAUCAGAGAGUUUGCUUUGCCCGUCGGCAGACACAGAUGACAUCAGGGGCCAGUAAUGUUUGGAGCACCUGUGCCGGAGGGCCCUGUAUUUACCGACACUGACGGCUCAGACUAUGGAAUGUUGUGUAAACACUGGAAAGAAUCCGGGGGAUCCCUUAAACCUGAGGGUUAAGACUGUCCUCAGGCUGCCAACACCUCAGCUCUCAGCAUGUUUGAGCUUGAAAAUAUGCAAGGCAGUGAUUUUUUUUUUCUCUUUCUUUCUUUUUCUACUUUGCCCUUUGUGUUUAAGUCUUAUACAUCCAGAAACUUCUAUCAUUGUGGUUGGUUUUCACACUCACUAGAUUUCCAUAAGUGCAAAAUCAAGUUGCAUAAUUCUUGCCAUGCAUUACAGAUUUUUAAGAUUUUAAUUAAUUAAUUAAUUAAUUAGUUUGUUUAGCUGUGUCUUUGCUAAAUCCUUUCAAACGUCAAAACGCAUCUAAACAGUUCAAAAGCCCAAAAACCUGUUAACCAGCUGAUGCCAGCCAAGACUUAACAAAAAAUAAUUUCAGAAUUGUUUAAUUGCACUAAAGCAUUACAUAUUGACAG